AUUGAACGCUGGCGGCAGGCCUAACACAUGCAAGUCGAGCGGAUGAAGGGAGCUUGCUCCUGGAAUCAGCGGCGGAAGGGUGAGUAAUGCCUAGGAAUCUGCCUGGUAGUGGGGGAUAACGUCCGGAAACGGGCGCUAAUACCGCAUACGUCCUGAGGGAGAAAGUGGGGGAUCUUCGGACCUCACGCUAUCAGAUGAGCCUAGGUCGGAUUAGCUAGUUGGUGGGGUAAAGGCCUACCAAGGCGACGAUCCGUAACUGGUCUGAGAGGAUGAUCAGUCACACUGGAACGGAGACACGGUCCAGACUCCUACGGGAGGCAGCAGUGGGGAAUAUUGGACAAUGGGCGAAAGCCUGAUCCAGCCAUGCCGCGUGUGUGGAGAAGGUCUUCGGAUUGUAAAGCACUUUAAGUUGGGAGGAAGGGCAGUAAGUUAAUACCUUGCUGUUUUGACGGUACCAACAGAAUAAGCACCGGCUAACUUCGUG
Molecule: ribosomal RNA, 484 nt
Filed under: uncultured bacterium
Lineage: Bacteria
Description: partial 16S ribosomal RNA
Rfam family: Bacterial small subunit ribosomal RNA
Source: RNAcentral